CCUACGGGAGGCAGCAGUGAGGAAUAUUGGUCAAUGGUCGCGAGACUGAACCAGCCAAGCCGCGUGAAGGAUGAAUGCCCAGAGUGUUGUAAACUUCUUUUGUAAGGGAAUAAAGUCUGGCACGCGUGCCUGUUUGUGUGUACUUGAAGAAUAAGCAUCGGCUAACUCCGUGCCAGCAGCCGCGGUAAUACGGAGGAUCCGAGCGUUAUCCGGAUUUAUUGGGUUUAAAGGGAGCGUAGGGGGGUUGUUAAGUCAGGUGUGAAAGGUCGGGGCUCAACCCUAAAAUUGCAAUUGAUACUGGCAGCCUCGAGUUCAGGUGAGGUAGGCGGAAUGCGUGGUGUAGCGGUGAAAUGCUUAGAUAUCGCGAAGAACUCCGAUUGCGAAGGCAGCUUGC
Molecule: ribosomal RNA, 394 nt
Filed under: uncultured bacterium
Lineage: Bacteria
Description: partial 16S ribosomal RNA
Rfam family: Bacterial small subunit ribosomal RNA
Source: RNAcentral